GGUAAGGUGGCCGAGUAGGCAUUAGACUGUAAAUCUAAAGACAGAGGUUUAACCCUCUUCUUACC
Molecule: transfer RNA, 65 nt
Filed under: Acomys mullah (Mullah spiny mouse)
Lineage: Eukaryota; Metazoa; Chordata; Mammalia; Rodentia; Muridae
Description: tRNA-Tyr
Rfam family: tRNA
About the family: Transfer RNA (tRNA) molecules are approximately 80 nucleotides in length.
Source: RNAcentral